CGGUUUCUGGGCCCGGGUAUGGGGAUUUCUUCACCCGGCCCCCUAGGCUUUCACCUCGGUGGAAUUUCCCGCGCCCCCGCUGGGAUGAUUUAGGGACUGUUGGCUAGAACUGCCCUUGCCUACCGCCCUACUGCGGGCGCUCCCCUGUCUGGGGGGUGCUUGGCUGGGUGUGGAGAAGGAUCAAUCACAGCUGACUCCUCAGAGGUGACAGCCCCUGCCCCCUUAAAAACAAGAAAAGACCUAGCAGUGUGAAGCCAAACUGCACCCCCAGCCCCGGUGACAUGAGGAAACCGUGAGGCGCUCAGCCUGAGGUUCAUCGUUCAUCUCCUUCCUGCUUGGAAUCAGAAUGUCCUCACUGCUGAGUUUCUCCGUUUUAUGGGAUUACAUUAGUGGACAAAGGAGGAAGUCCCAGCCGGGAACACAGAAAGGAUAUGGAGAAAAUUAUUAUUCUGCCCCUACAGUUUCGGUGACCCAGAUGGGAUCUCUGGGACACCCUGCCUGCUCUACAAUUGGGAUCCCUGGAAAAGUGACAGAAUCUGGCAACAGAUGAGUAAGAAAGGUCACUUCCUGGCAGACCUCAGGUAUAUUGGGGACAUCAAGAAAAGAAUAAUUCAUCAAAGUCUAUAGAUAUUGCAGGCAAAGUUGAAACAAGCCAGACAAGUUCUCUUUGUAUUCUUGAGAGACUUGGAAAGUCUAACCUGAGAUUCCUUAUUAAAAGUUCCAGCAAAACAGACUUAAAAA
This is a long non-coding RNA of Pan troglodytes (chimpanzee), 741 nucleotides long. RefSeq lists it as uncharacterized. The transcript has 3 exons. The record is from RefSeq and is a predicted model, not a curated record. NCBI's taxonomy places the organism in Eukaryota, Metazoa, Chordata, Mammalia, Primates, Hominidae.